AGAGUUUGAUUCUGGCUCAGGAUGAACGCUGGCGGCGUGCCUAACACAUGCAAGUCGAACGGACCAUCUUCGGGGUGGUUAGUGGCGGACGGGUGCGUAACACGUAGGUGACCUGCCCCAGAGUGGGGAAUAAUUCCGCGAAAGCGGGACUAAUACCGCAUAUGCUCGGCGAUCCACUUCGUCGAGUAAAGCCUUCGGGCGCUUUGGGAUGGGCCUGCGGCGGAUUAGCUAGUUGGUAGGGUAAUGGCCUACCAAGGCGAUGAUCCGUAGGGGGCGUGAGAGCGUGACCCCCCACAUUGGCACUGAGACACGGGCCAAACUCCUACGGGAGGCAGCAGUGAGGAAUAUUGCACAAUGGGCGAAAGCUUUGAUGCAGCAACGCCGCGUGAGGGACGAAGGCCCUCGGGUCGUAAACCUCUUUUCUGGGGGACGAGACUAGGACGGUACCUCAGGAAUAAGUCUCGGCUAACUACGUGCCAGCAGCGGC
RNAcentral lists this ribosomal RNA (487 nucleotides) under uncultured bacterium. RNAcentral describes it as "bacterial SSU rRNA". It matches the Rfam family "Bacterial small subunit ribosomal RNA", at positions 8 to 518 of the family's 1533-position model. The record is from RNAcentral.